RNAcentral lists this transfer RNA (82 nucleotides) under Oryzias latipes (Japanese medaka). It matches the Rfam family "tRNA". Rfam says of the family: Transfer RNA (tRNA) molecules are approximately 80 nucleotides in length. Their secondary structure includes four short double-helical elements and three loops (D, anti-codon, and T loops). Lineage: Eukaryota; Metazoa; Chordata; Actinopteri; Beloniformes; Adrianichthyidae. The record is from Rfam by way of RNAcentral.
ACCAGGAUGCUGAGUGGUUAAGGCAUUGGUCUUAAGACCCAAUGAGCACAUGCUCAUGUGGGUUCAAACCCUACUCCAAGUA